GUGGGGAAUAUUGGACAAUGGGCGCAAGCCUGAUCCAGCCAUACCGCGUGGGUGAAGAAGGCCUUCGGGUUGUAAAGCCCUUUUGUUGGGAAAGAAAUCCUGUCGGUUAAUACCUGGCGGGGAUGACGGUACCCAAAGAAUAAGCACCGGCUAACUUCGUGCCAGCAGCCGCGGUAAUACGAAGGGUGCAAGCGUUACUCGGAAUUACUGGGCGUAAAGCUGGCGUAGGUGGUGGUUUAAGUCCGUUGUGAAAGCCCUGGGCUCAACGUGGGGAGUGCAGUGGAUACUGGAUCACUAGAGUGUGGUAGAGGGAUGCGGAAUUUCUGGUGUAGCAGUGAAAUGCGUAGAGAUCAGAAGGAACAUCCGUGGCGAAGGCGGCAUCCUGGGCCAACACUGACACUGAGGCACGAAAGCGUGGGGAGCAAACAGGAUUAGAAACCCCGGUAGUCC
Molecule: ribosomal RNA, 450 nt
Filed under: uncultured bacterium
Lineage: Bacteria
Description: partial 16S ribosomal RNA
Rfam family: Bacterial small subunit ribosomal RNA
Source: RNAcentral